Molecule: ribosomal RNA, 425 nt
Filed under: uncultured bacterium
Lineage: Bacteria
Description: partial 16S ribosomal RNA
Rfam family: Bacterial small subunit ribosomal RNA
Source: RNAcentral
GUGGGGAAUCUUGCGCAAUGGGCGAAAGCCUGACGCAGCCAUGCCGCGUGAAUGAUGAAGGUCUUAGGAUUGUAAAAUUCUUUCACCGGGGACGAUAAUGACGGUACCCGGAGAAGAAGCCCCGGCUAACUUCGUGCCAGCAGCCGCGGUAAUACGAAGGGGGCUAGCGUUGCUCGGAAUUACUGGGCGUAAAGGGCGCGUAGGCGGACAGUUUAGUCAGAGGUGAAAGCCCAGGGCUCAACCUUGGAAUUGCCUUUGAUACUGGCUGUCUUGAGUAUGAGAGAGGUGUGUGGAACUCCGAGUGUAGAGGUGAAAUUCGUAGAUAUUCGGAAGAACACCAGUGGCGAAGGCGACACACUGGCUCAUUACUGACGCUGAGGCGCGAAAGCGUGGGGAGCAAACAGGAUUAGAAACCCCAGUAGUCC